UACGUAGGGGGCUAGCGUUGUCCGGAAUCAUUGGGCGUAAAGCGCGUGUAGGCGGCUAGGUAGGUCCGUUGUGAAAACUCGAGGCUCAACCUCGAGACGCCGAUGGAAACCAUCUGGCUAGAGUCCGGAAGAGGAGAGUGGAAUUCCUGGUGUAGCGGUGAAAUUCGUAGAUAUUGGGAAGAACACCGGUGGCGAAGGCGGCGACCUGGUCCGAUACUGACGCUGAGGCGCGAAAGCGUGGGGAGCAAACAGG
Molecule: ribosomal RNA, 253 nt
Filed under: uncultured bacterium
Lineage: Bacteria
Description: partial 16S ribosomal RNA
Rfam family: Bacterial small subunit ribosomal RNA
Source: RNAcentral